Non-coding RNA from Glossina pallidipes, 139 nucleotides. The record is from Rfam. NCBI's taxonomy places the organism in Eukaryota, Metazoa, Arthropoda, Insecta, Diptera, Glossinidae.
ACCCCAUUGCAUAAGCCGACGUGAAGAGUGUUCAUCCAACUUCUCAAGUGGUGUGAGAUGGGAACAGUAGACUUAUUCUGAUGUGUGUAUGUUGUUAAACGAUAUCCUCGUUUACCAGCAAAGAAUUUUUCAGUGUACA